RNAcentral lists this transfer RNA (60 nucleotides) under Loxodonta africana (African savanna elephant). It matches the Rfam family "tRNA". Rfam says of the family: Transfer RNA (tRNA) molecules are approximately 80 nucleotides in length. The record is from Rfam by way of RNAcentral. Lineage: Eukaryota; Metazoa; Chordata; Mammalia; Proboscidea; Elephantidae.
GUACUGGUAGACUUCUUGCCUUCCAUGCAGGAGACCUGGGUUCAAUUCCUGGCCAGUACC